GGUUGCGAUCAUACCAGCACUAAUGCACCGGAUCCCAUCAGAACUCCGCAGAUAAGCGUGCAUGGGCGAGAGUAGUACUAGGAUGGGUGACCCCCUGGGAAGUCCUCGUGUUGCAACCC
Molecule: ribosomal RNA, 119 nt
Filed under: Helianthus annuus (common sunflower)
Lineage: Eukaryota; Viridiplantae; Streptophyta; Magnoliopsida; Asterales; Asteraceae
Source: RNAcentral